CCUCUUCAGAAUCCCCUUAUUUAUGGAGAGAGAAUUAAUAAAGAAUUGCUAAUUAUUUGAGAUUUUAGGGCUCAGUUCAACUACAGAGAGGCAACAUGGAAGUGCAAAUGGAAAAUUCAUGUUUGGAAGGUGAUAGCAAUGCAUUGGUCUUGCCUGCAAAGAAACGUAAUAAAAGGAAAGGCAUAAAUCAGGAGAAUGAAGGGGUCCAAAAAAAGAAAAACCCCAAGUUGAG
RNAcentral lists this unclassified non-coding RNA (232 nucleotides) under Hevea brasiliensis (rubber tree). The record is from RNAcentral. Lineage: Eukaryota; Viridiplantae; Streptophyta; Magnoliopsida; Malpighiales; Euphorbiaceae.